This 460-nucleotide ribosomal RNA is filed under the name uncultured bacterium. Its description in RNAcentral is "partial 16S ribosomal RNA". It matches the Rfam family "Bacterial small subunit ribosomal RNA", at positions 338 to 795 of the family's 1533-position model. The record is from RNAcentral.
CCUACGGGCGGCAGCAGUGAGGAAUAUUGGUCAAUGGACGAGAGUCUGAACCAGCCAAGUAGCGUGAAGGAUGACUGCCCUAUGGGUUGUAAACUUCUUUUAUAUGGGAAUAAAAUGUUCCACGUGUGGGAUUUUGUAUGUACCAUAUGAAUAAGGAUCGGCUAACUCCGUGCCAGCAGCCGCGGUAAUACGGAGGAUCCGAGCGUUAUCCGGAUUGAUUGGGUUUAAGGGGCGCGUAGGUGGAUUGUUAAGUCAGUUGUGAAAGUUUGCGGCUCAACCGUAAAAUUGCAGUUGAAACUGGCAGUCUUGAGUACAGUAGAGGUUGGCGGAAUUCGUGGUGUAGCGGUGAAAUGCUUAGAUAUCACGAAGAACUCCGAUUGCGAAGGCAGCUCACUGGACUGCAACUGACACUGAGGCUCGAAAGUGUGGGUAUCAAACAGGAUUAGAUACCCCUGUAGUC